Molecule: ribosomal RNA, 198 nt
Filed under: uncultured bacterium
Lineage: Bacteria
Description: partial 16S ribosomal RNA
Rfam family: Bacterial small subunit ribosomal RNA
Source: RNAcentral
UACUCCUACGGGAGGCAGCAGUGAGGAAUAUUGGGCAAUGCCCGCAAGGGUGACCCAGCAACGCCGCGUGGAGGAUGAAUGCCGUAAGGUUGUAAACUCCUGUUAGAGGGGACGAAAUAUUCAGCUUCGUAAGAAUCUGAAUUUGACUGUACCCUCAGAGAAAGCCCCGGCUAACUACGUGCCAGCAGCCGCGGUAAU